Molecule: unclassified non-coding RNA, 378 nt
Filed under: plant metagenome
Description: partial contains 5.8S ribosomal RNA, internal transcribed spacer 2, and large subunit ribosomal RNA
Rfam family: 5.8S ribosomal RNA (bases 1-105)
Source: RNAcentral
GAAAUGCGAUAAGUAAUGUGAAUUGCAGAAUUCAGUGAAUCAUCGAAUCUCUGAACGCACCUUGCGCUCCUUGGUAUUCCUUGGAGCAUGCCUGUUUGAAUAUCAUGAAAUCUUCAAAGUAAAUCUUUUGUUAACUCAAUUGGUUUCUACUUUGGUAUUGGAGGUCUUUGCAGCUUCACACCUGCUCCUCUUUGUUCAUUAGCUGGAUCUCAGUGUUAUGCUUGGUUCCACUCGGCGUGAUAAGUUAUCUAUCGCUGAGGACACUGUAAAAGGUGGCCAAGGUAAAUGCAGAUGAACCGCUUCUAAUAGUCCAUUGACUUGGACAAUACUUUUAUGAUCUGAUCUCAAAUCAGGUAGGACUACCCGCUGAACUUAAGC